RNAcentral lists this ribosomal RNA (449 nucleotides) under uncultured Streptococcus sp. Its description in RNAcentral is "bacterial SSU rRNA". It matches the Rfam family "Bacterial small subunit ribosomal RNA", at positions 930 to 1382 of the family's 1533-position model. The record is from RNAcentral. Lineage: Bacteria; Bacillati; Bacillota; Bacilli; Lactobacillales; Streptococcaceae.
CGGUGGAGCAUGUGUUUAAUUCGAAGCAACGCGAAGUAACCUUACCAGGUCUUGACAUCCCGAUGCUAUUUCUAGAGAUAGAAAGUUACUUCGGUACAUCGGUGACAGGUGGUGCAUGGUUGUCGUCAGCUCGUGUCGUGAGAUGUUGGGUUAAGUCCCGCAACGAGCGCAACCCCUAUUGUUAGUUGCCAUCAUUCAGUUGGGCACUCUAGCGAGACUGCCGGUAAUAAACCGGAGGAAGUGGGAUGACGUCAAAUCAUCAUGCCCCUUAUGACCUGGGCUACACACGUGCUACAAUGGUUGGUACAACGAGUUGCGAGUCGGUGACGGCGAGCUAAUCUCUUAAAGCCAAUCUCAGUUCGGAUUGUAGGCUGCAACUCGCCUACAUGAAGUCGGAAUCGCUAGUAAUCGCGGAUCAGCACGCCGCGGUGAAUACGUUCCCGGGCCUU